UACAGAGGUCCCAAGCGUUGUUCGGAUUCAUUGGGCGUAAAGGGUGCGUAGGUGGCGUCGUAAGUCGGGUGUGAAAUCUCGGGGCUUAACUCCGAAACUGCAUUCGAUACUGCGGUGCUUGAGGACUGGAGAGGAGACUGGAAUUUACGGUGUAGUGGUGAAAUGCGUAGAUAUCGGGAGGAACACCAGUGGCGAAGGCGACUACCUGGCCUGUUUCUUGACGCUGAGGCGCGAAAGCUAGGGUAGCAAACGGG
RNAcentral lists this ribosomal RNA (254 nucleotides) under uncultured bacterium. Its description in RNAcentral is "partial 16S ribosomal RNA". It matches the Rfam family "Bacterial small subunit ribosomal RNA", at positions 524 to 776 of the family's 1533-position model. The record is from RNAcentral.